AACAUACUCAAUCUUCUACUGAGAAACUUUCCCUGUGUAAAUGGGGUCUAAUUCUUAAAAUCGACUGAUUUUAGCAACCGUAAUCGACUUCCCCAUUUCUUUUUACCCAGUAUGUAAAAAAUGGAAACUACUGAGGAAAGGUUGCAGAAGUAUCGCUUAAAAAAACGACGAGAGGAACAUUUACAACGAUUUAUAGCCAAAUUUUGGGAAAUCAUAUCACCUACAAAAGGAGUCAAAGAAGAAGUCAAUAUAUCUUCUAAAACUGCACUUCAGCAUUCAGAGAACUCACUUGUAAAAAAUAUAGAACUUGUUUCCGAAAAUCGGGACUUUAGCAGUUGUUUGCGAACUGUCGACGCUACUUUGAAAACACGCAAUUUAAGUGAUGCUAUUUUGCGCUACUUACUACAUGCAGCCUACAUAUCUCUUUGGAUAAUUUUAUAUAUUAUUGCAAUCGAACUUCAGUUCGGCAUUGUGUACCUUAUGUUAUCUGGACUAUUAAUCAUGUACAUCAACACACGCACCGGACCAAAGAGUCGAAAUGAAAUCAGUGCCUAUAGUGUUUUUAAUAAAGACUUUAAAAGCAUUGAUGGAUCUCUGAAGGCUGAACAAUUCGAACGCGAAAUAGGAAUUCGAUAAUUUCUCAGAUCAACUUUUUUUAAAGUGUGUAAUAUAUUUUCGUUUGUUCAGUAAACAUGUAUGCACAUUCUAUUGUUAAAACAAGUAAAAUUAAAAAAAAAUA
This is an RNA transcript of Musca domestica (house fly), 739 nucleotides long. RefSeq lists it as uncharacterized. Lineage: Eukaryota; Metazoa; Arthropoda; Insecta; Diptera; Muscidae. The record is from RefSeq and is a predicted model, not a curated record. The transcript is spliced from 2 exons.